This 781-nucleotide ribosomal RNA is filed under the name Nocardia sp. Its description in RNAcentral is "bacterial SSU rRNA". It matches the Rfam family "Bacterial small subunit ribosomal RNA", at positions 56 to 853 of the family's 1533-position model. The record is from RNAcentral. Lineage: Bacteria; Bacillati; Actinomycetota; Actinomycetes; Mycobacteriales; Nocardiaceae.
UGCAGUCGAGCGGUAAGGCCCUUCGGGGUACACGAGCGGCGAACGGGUGAGUAACACGUGGGUGAUCUGCCUUGCACUCUGGGAUAAGCCUGGGAAACUGGGUCUAAUACCGGAUAUGACCUUCGGUUGCAUGACCGGGGGUGGAAAGAUUUAUCGGUGCAAGAUGAGCCCGCGGCCUAUCAGCUUGUUGGUGGGGUAAUGGCCUACCAAGGCGACGACGGGUAGCCGGCCUGAGAGGGCGACCGGCCACACUGGGACUGAGACACGGCCCAGACUCCUACGGGAGGCAGCAGUGGGGAAUAUUGCACAAUGGGCGGAAGCCUGAUGCAGCGACGCCGCGUGAGGGAUGACGGCCUUCGGGUUGUAAACCUCUUUCGACUCCGACGAAGCGAGAGUGACGGUAGGAGUAUAAGAAGCACCGGCCAACUACGUGCCAGCAGCCGCGGUAAUACGUAGGGUGCGAGCGUUGUCCGGAAUUACUGGGCGUAAAGAGCUUGUAGGCGGUCUGUCGCGUCAUCUGUGAAAACUUGGGGCUCAACCUUAAGCUUGCAGGCGAUACGGGCAGACUAGAGUACUUCAGGGGAGACUGGAAUUCCUGGUGUAGCGGUGAAAUGCGCAGAUAUCAGGAGGAACACCGGUGGCGAAGGCGGGUCUCUGGGAAGUAACUGACGCUGAGAAGCGAAAGCGUGGGUAGCGAACAGGAUUAGAUACCCUGGUAGUCCACGCCGUAAACGGUGGGUACUAGGUGUGGGUUUCCUUCCACGGGAUCCGUGCCGUAGCU